AGACGGAGGGCGCAAGCGUUGUUCGGAAUUACUGGGCGUAAAGGGCAGGUAGGUGGUCUGUUAAGUCUUCUGUGAAAAUCCGGGGCUCAACCCCGCGAAAUGCAGGUGAAACUGGCAGACUUGAGACCGGUAGAGGCUAGCGGAAUUCCUGGUGUAGCGGUGGAAUGCGUAGAUAUCAGGAAGAACACCUGUGGCGAAGGCGGCUAGCUGGGCCGGUUCUGACACUGAACUGCGAAAGCGUGGGGAGCAAACAGGAUUAGAUACCCCAGUAGUCC
RNAcentral lists this ribosomal RNA (275 nucleotides) under uncultured bacterium. Its description in RNAcentral is "partial 16S ribosomal RNA". It matches the Rfam family "Bacterial small subunit ribosomal RNA", at positions 523 to 796 of the family's 1533-position model. The record is from RNAcentral.